This 1907-nucleotide ribosomal RNA is filed under the name human gut metagenome. RNAcentral's name for it is "bacterial LSU rRNA". It matches the Rfam family "Bacterial large subunit ribosomal RNA", at positions 3 to 1991 of the family's 2925-position model. The record is from RNAcentral.
UCAAGCUGUAAAGGGCGCAAGGGGAAUGCCUUGGCACUGAGAGCCGACGAAGGACGCGACAAGCUGCGAUAAGCUACGGGGAGCCGCAAAUGGGCUUUGAUCCGUAGAUUUCCGAAUGGGGAAACCCGGCAGAGCAAUACUCUGUCAACGUGCACUGAAUACAUAGGUGUACGUGGGGAACCGCCUGAACUGAAACAUCUAAGUAGGGCGAGGAAGAGAAAUCAACCGAGAUUCCGCUAGUAGUGGCGAGCGAACGCGGAAGAGGCCAAACCGAAGGUAGCAAUAUUUUCGGGGUUAGGACUGCAAUAUGCAGCUUUCAUUUUUAACCGAAUGCUUUGGGAAGAGCAGCGAUACAGGGUGAUAGCCCCGUAGGUGAAAAGAAUGGAGCGCUAGCAGUAUCCAGAGUACCAGCGGACACGUGAAACCCGCUGGGAAGAUGGGGGGACCAUCCUCCAAGCCUAAAUACUACUCAGUGACCGAUAGUGGAGCAGUACCGUGAGGGAAAGGUGAAAAGUACCCCGGGAGGGGAGUGAAAGAGAACCUGAAACCUUGUGCCUACAAGCACCGAGAGCACGUUAAAGUGUGAUCGGGUACUUUUUGUAGAACGGUCCGGCGAGUUAAUAUUUGCAGCGAGGUUAAGUAACUGGAGUUACGGAGCCGCAGCGAGAGCGAGUCUGAAUAGGGCGUAUGAAGUUGCAGGUAUUAGACCCGAAACCGGGUGACCUAUCCAUGAGCAGGCUGAAGCGGUGGUAAGACACCGUGGAGGGCCGCACCCACGUCUGUUGAAAAAGCCGGGGAUGACUUGUGGAUAGCGGAGAAAUUCCAAUCGAACUCGGAGAUAGCUGGUUCUCCCCGAAAUAGCUUUAGGGCUAGCGUUAUUUUAGAUUACCGGAGGUAAAGCACUGAAUGGUCUAGGGGCCGCGAGGUUACCAAAGCCUAUCAAACUCUGAAUGCCGGAUAAUUGAUGAAUAGCAGUCAGACUGUGUGAGAUAAGUCUCAUAGUCAAAAGGGAAACAGCCCAGAUCUACAGCUAAGGUCCCAAAUGAACACUAAGUGGAAAAUGAUGUGAAACUGCGAAGACAACCAGGAUGUUGGCUUAGAAGCAGCCACUCAUUCAAAGAGUGCGUAAUAGCUCACUGGUCGAGUGGUUUUGCGCAGAAAAUGUAACGGGGCUAAGUGUUCAACCGAAGCUUAGGCAUUGUACUUUGUACAUUGGGUAGGGGAGCGUCGUAUGCGGGGCGAAGUCAGAGCGGAAGCACUGGUGGACUGCAUACGAGUGAGAAUGCCGGAAUAAGUAGCGAGAAUUAUGUGAGAAUCAUAAUGGCCGAAAAUCUAAGGUUUCCUGGGGAAGGUUCGUCCGCCCAGGGUUAGUCGGGAGCUAAGCUCAGGCCGAGAGGCGUAGGCGAUGCACAUACGGUAGAAAUUCCGUAACCACCGAACUUUAAGCUAGAGGGACGCUUUCUUUAAGGUUAUCCCGGGCGAUGGUUGCCCCGGGCGUAAGGGACCGAAAUUUAGUAGGGAAGUAACUGGCGAGAGAGACGAGAAAAGCUCUAGUGUAUACUAAGGUGCCCGUACCGCAAACCGACACAGGUAGAAGGGAUGAGUAUUCUAAGGCCAACGGGAGAAGGGUUGUUAAGGAACUCGGCAAAUUGGCCCCGUAACUUCGGGAUAAGGGGCGCCUGCGAGAGCAGGCCGCAGUGAAAAGGCCCAAGCGACUGUUUAGCAAAAACACAGCUCUCUGCUAAAUCGAAAGAUGACGUAUAGGGGGUGACGCCUGCCCGGUGCUGGAAGGUUAAGGGGAGUGCUUAGCGCAAGCGAAGGUGCGAACUUAAGCCCCAGUAAACGGCGGCCGUAACUAUAACGGUCCUAAGGUAGCGAAAUUCCUUGUCAGGUAAGUUCUGACCCGC